This 492-nucleotide ribosomal RNA is filed under the name uncultured bacterium. Its description in RNAcentral is "partial 16S ribosomal RNA". It matches the Rfam family "Bacterial small subunit ribosomal RNA", at positions 29 to 507 of the family's 1533-position model. The record is from RNAcentral.
AGUGAACGCUGGCGGUAGGCCUAACACAUGCAAGUCGAACGGCAGCACAGUAAGAGCUUGCUCUUACGGGUGGCGAGUGGCGGACGGGUGAGGAAUACAUCGGAAUCUACUUUUUCGUGGGGGAUAACGUAGGGAAACUUACGCUAAUACCGCAUACGACCUACGGGUGAAAGCAGGGGAUCUUCGGACCUUGCGCGAUUGAAUGAGCCGAUGUCGGAUUAGCUGGUUGGCGGGGUAAAGGCCCACCAAGGCGACGAUCCGUAGCUGGUCUGAGAGGAUGAUCAGCCACACUGGAACUGAGACACGGUCCAGACUCCUACGGGAGGCAGCAGUGGGGAAUAUUGGACAAUGGGCGCAAGCCUGAUCCAGCCAUACCGCGUGGGUGAAGAAGGCCUUCGGGUUGUAAAGCCCUUUUGUUGGGAAAGAAAAGCAGCAGGUUAAUACCCCGCUGUUCUGACGGUACCCAAAGAAUAAGCACCGGCUAACUCCGUG